UACGGAGGAUGCGAGCGUUAUCCGGAUUUAUUGGGUUUAAAGGGUGCGUAGGCGGCUUAGUAAGUCAGCGGUGAAAUUUUGCAGCUUAACUGUAACAGUGCCGUUGAUACUGCCAGGCUAGGAUUUGGUUGCUGUGGGUGGAAUGUGUGGUGUAGCGGUGAAAUGCUUAGAUAUCACACAGAAUAUCGAUUGCGAAGGCAGCUCACAAAGCCAAGAUUGACGCUGAGGCACGAAAGUGUGGGGAUUAGAUA
Molecule: ribosomal RNA, 251 nt
Filed under: uncultured prokaryote
Description: partial 16S ribosomal RNA
Rfam family: Bacterial small subunit ribosomal RNA
Source: RNAcentral